GACGAACGCUGGCGGCGUGCUUAACACACGCAAGUCGAACGGAAAGGCCCGCUUGCGGGUACUCGAGUGGCGAACGGGUGAGUAACACGUGGGCAACCUGCCCUCAGCUUCGGGAUAACACUUGGAAACAGGUGCUAAUACCGGAUAAUAACCUUUCAUCGCAUGGUGGUUGGUUCAAAGUUUUUCGGCUGAGGAUGGGCCCGCGGCCUAUCAGCUUGUUGGUGGGGUAAUGGCCUACCAAGGCGACGACGGGUAGCCGGCCUGAGAGGGCGACCGGCCACACUGGGACUGAGACACGGCCCAGACUCCUACGGGAGGCAGCAGUGGGGAAUAUUGCGCAAUGGGCGGAAGCCUGACUCAGCGACGCCGCGUGAGGGAUGACGGCCUUCGGGUUGUAAACCUCUUUCAGCUCCGACGAAGCGCAAGUGACGGUAGGAGCAGAAGAAGCACCGGCCAACUACGUGCCAGCAGCCGCCGUAA
This 480-nucleotide ribosomal RNA is filed under the name uncultured bacterium. RNAcentral's name for it is "partial 16S ribosomal RNA". It matches the Rfam family "Bacterial small subunit ribosomal RNA", at positions 28 to 523 of the family's 1533-position model. The record is from RNAcentral.